AGUGAACGCUGGCGGUAGGCCUAACACAUGCAAGUCGAACGGCAGCACAAGGGAGCUUGCUCCCUGGGUGGCGAGUGGCGGACGGGUGAGGAAUACAUCGGAAUCUACCUUGUCGUGGGGGAUAACCUCGGGAAACCGGGACUAAUACCGCAUACGACCUCGGUGAAGUAGGGAGUCGCAAGACCUUACGCGAUUGGAUG
RNAcentral lists this ribosomal RNA (200 nucleotides) under uncultured bacterium. RNAcentral describes it as "partial 16S ribosomal RNA". It matches the Rfam family "Bacterial small subunit ribosomal RNA", at positions 29 to 227 of the family's 1533-position model. The record is from RNAcentral.